UACGUAGGGUGCGAGCGUUAAUCGGAAUUACUGGGCGUAAAGGGUGCGCAGGCGGUUAUAUAAGACAGAUGUGAAAUCCCCGGGCUCAACCUGGGAACUGCGUUUGUGACUGUAUGACUAGAGUACGGUAGAGAGGGGUGGAAUUCCUGGUGUAGCAGUGAAAUGCGUAGAUAUCGGGAGGAACACCAAUGGCGAAGGCAGCUCGCUGGGACGUUACUGACGCUGAGACGCGAAAGCGUGGGGAGCAAACAGG
Molecule: ribosomal RNA, 253 nt
Filed under: uncultured bacterium
Lineage: Bacteria
Description: partial 16S ribosomal RNA
Rfam family: Bacterial small subunit ribosomal RNA
Source: RNAcentral